GUAGGGAAUCUUCCACAAUGGGCGCAAGCCUGAUGGAGCAACACCGCGUGAGUGAAGAAGGGUUUCGGCUCGUAAAGCUCUGUUGUUAAAGAAGAACACGUAUGAGAGUAACUGUUCAUACGUUGACGGUAUUUAACCAGAAAGUCACGGCUAACUACGUGCCAGCAGCCGCGGUAAUACGUAGGUGGCAAGCGUUAUCCGGAGUUAUUGGGCGUAAAGAGAGUGCAGGCGGUUUUCUAAGUCUGAUGUGCAAGCCUUCGGCUUAACCGGAGAAGUGCAUCGGAAACUGGAUAACUUGAGUGCAGAAGAGGGUAGUGGAACUCCAGGUGUAGCGGUGGAAUGCGUAGAUAUAUGGAAGAACACCAGUGGCGAAGGCGGCUACCUGGUCUGCAACUGACGCUGAGACUCGAAAGCAUGGGUAGCGAACAGGAUUAGAAACCCGGGUAGUCC
RNAcentral lists this ribosomal RNA (450 nucleotides) under uncultured bacterium. RNAcentral describes it as "partial 16S ribosomal RNA". It matches the Rfam family "Bacterial small subunit ribosomal RNA", at positions 354 to 796 of the family's 1533-position model. The record is from RNAcentral.